This is a non-coding RNA of Bos taurus (domestic cattle), 73 nucleotides long. The record is from Rfam. NCBI's taxonomy places the organism in Eukaryota, Metazoa, Chordata, Mammalia, Artiodactyla, Bovidae.
UCCCUGGUGGUCUAAUGGCUAAGACUCUGUGCUCCCAAUUCAGGGGGCCUGGAUUCAAUCCCUGGUCAAGGAA